This 1242-nucleotide ribosomal RNA is filed under the name metagenome. RNAcentral's name for it is "bacterial LSU rRNA". It matches the Rfam family "Bacterial large subunit ribosomal RNA", at positions 1564 to 2817 of the family's 2925-position model. The record is from RNAcentral.
UGAAUACGAGAUGCUACGGCGUCGAAGCAGUGUAUGUCAGACUUCCAAGAAAAGCUCAAUGUCAUAAAUAAAGAAUGCCUGUACCAUAACCGACACAGGUGGGUAGGUAGAGUAUACUAUGGGGCGCGAGAUAACUCUCUCUAAGGAACUCGGCAAAAUAACUCCGUAACUUCGGGAGAAGGAGUGCCUUCUAUUAGAAGGUUGCAAUAACAAGAUCCAAGCAACUGUUUAUCAAAAACACAGGUCUCCGCUAAGUCGUAAGACGAUGUAUGGGGGCUGACGCCUGCCCAGUGCCGGAAGGUUAAAGAAGUUGGUUAGCUUUGGCGAAGCUGAUGACUGAAGCCCUGGUGAACGGCGGCCGUAACUAUAACGGUCCUAAGGUAGCGAAAUUCCUUGUCGGGUAAGUUCCGACCCGCACGAAAGGCGUAAUGAUUUGGAUACUGUCUCGGAGAGGGACUCGGUGAAAUAGACUUGUCUGUGAAGAUGCGGACUACCUGCACCAGGACAGAAAGACCCUAUGAAGCUUUACUGUAACUUGAAAUUGAAAUUGGACUUUAUUUGCGCAGCAUAGGUGGAAGGCGUUGAGAUUACUCUUGCGGGAGUACUGGAGCCAUCAGUGAGAUACCACUCCUAUAAUGUUAGAUUUCUAACUUUGGAUCAUGAUCUGGUCAAAGAACAGUUUCAGGCGGGCAGUUUGACUGGGGCGGUCGCCUCCCAAAUGGUAACGGAGGCGUACAAAGGUUUCCUCUGAACGGGUAGAAAUCGUAUCUAGAGUGUAAAGGCAUAAGGAAGCUUGACUGUGAGACCUACAAGUCGAGCAGGGACGAAAGUCGGUCUUAGUGAUCUGACGGUGCUGAGUGGAAAGGCCGUCACUCAACGGAUAAAAGUUACUCUAGGAUAACAGGCUGAUCUCCCCCAAGAGUUCACAUCGACGGGGAGGUUUGGCACCUCGAUGUCGGCUCAUCGCAUCCUGGGGCGGUAGUACGUCCCAAGGGUUGGGCUUUUCGCCCAUGAAAGCGGUACGCGAGCUGGGUUCAGAACGUCGUGAGACAGUUCGGUCCAUAUCCGGUGUAGGCGUUAGAAUAUUGAGAGGAGCCUUCUUUAGUACGAGAGGACCGAGAAGGACAUACCUCUGGUGUACCAGUUAUCGUGCCAACGGUAAACGCUGGGUAGCUAUGUAUGGAGAGGAUAACCGCUGAAAGCAUCUAAGUGGGAAGCCCACCUCAAGAUGAGUAUUCUCAC